GCAUAUCAAUAAGCGGAGGAAAAGAAACCAACAGGGAUUGCCCCAGUAACGGCGAGUGAAGCGGCAACAGCUCAAAUUUGAAAUCUGGCCCCUAGGGCCCGAGUUGUAAUUUGCAGAGGAUGCUUUUGGCGAGGUGCCUUCCGAGUUCCCUGGAACGGGACGCCAUAGAGGGUGAGAGCCCCGUCUGGUUGGAUACCGAGCCUCUGUAAAGCUCCUUCGACGAGUCGAGUAGUUUGGGAAUGCUGCUCUAAAUGGGAGGUAUAUGUCUUCUAAAGCUAAAUACCGGCCAGAGACCGAUAGCGCACAAGUAGAGUGAUCGAAAGAUGAAAAGCACUUUGAAAAGAGGGUUAAACAGUACGUGAAAUUGUUGAAAGGGAAGCGUUUAUGACCAGACUUGGACCCGGUGAAUCAUCCAGCGUUCUCGCUGGUGCACUUUGCCGGGCUCAGGCCAGCAUCAGUUUGUCCCGGGGGAUAAAGGCUUAGGGAAUGUGGCUCCUCCGGGAGUGUUAUAGCCCUCUGCAUAAUACCCUGGGGCGGACUGAGGUUCGCGCAUCUGCAAGGAUGCUGGCGUAAUGGUCAUCAACGACCCGUCUUGAAACACGGACCAAGGAGUCGUCUUCGUAUGCGAGUGUUCGGGUGUCAAACCCCUACGCGUAAUGAAAGUGAACGCAGGUGAGAGCUUCGGCGCAUCAUCGACCGAUCCUGAUGUUCUCGGAUGGAUUUGAGUAAGAGCAUACGGGGCCGGACCCGAAAGAAGGUGAACUAUGCCUGUAUAGGGUGAAGCCAGAGGAAACUCUGGUGGAGGCUCGCAGCGGUUCUGACGUGCAAAUCGAUCGUCAAAUAUGGGCAUGGGGGCGAAAGACUAAUCGAACCUUCUAG
RNAcentral lists this ribosomal RNA (879 nucleotides) under Bettiolomyces epiphytus. Its description in RNAcentral is "partial large subunit ribosomal RNA". It matches the Rfam family "Eukaryotic large subunit ribosomal RNA", at positions 38 to 947 of the family's 3401-position model. Lineage: Eukaryota; Fungi; Ascomycota; Sordariomycetes; Hypocreales; Clavicipitaceae. The record is from RNAcentral.